Eucalyptus grandis is the source of this 622-nucleotide long non-coding RNA. RefSeq lists it as uncharacterized. The record is from RefSeq and is a predicted model, not a curated record. Lineage: Eukaryota; Viridiplantae; Streptophyta; Magnoliopsida; Myrtales; Myrtaceae. The transcript has 2 exons.
AAAGAGAGAGGUGUGCGAGAGAGAGCUUGAGCGGAAGAGAGGCCGAGAGGAAGAGGAAGGAGGGAGCCGCCCGUCCGCCGUACGUCCGCCUAGUCCGACCACCGUACGCCGCCUUGUGCUUGCUGUUCGUUCAUUUUGGAGGCAAAUUAGAAAGAUGCCGCUUCCUACCGUCACGCGAGGCACCUUCUAUGGUAUUCCGUCAGAUGUAGAAGUAGAUUGUACGGAGAUCGACUGCGUCACUAUCCCUGGACUGACAUUUAUGCGAGUGCGUGUGCUGGUCAUGUACGACGUGGGCCUGGCUGGGGGCCCAGUCAUCCAGGAGUUUUUGUCUGUUCAUGUCCGCCGAGACGGAGUGUUUAGGGGGAUGUUGCCGCCACCACCACCCGAUGCACCUGGAUGGGUGUGAUGGUUGUGUGAAGGGUAGAGAGCUGGUGUCGUCUUUUUGGGAGUAGCCGCCACUGUUGGAUGGGGGAAAUGACAUGUGAUCUUCUUGAGGGGUCGUAGUAUCUUUUUGGGAUGAGGCCGAGUGUGGCUGAAAAUCUUGGUCUCCUUUUGUUGUAUCGACCCGUGAAAAACCCAUCGAUAUUAUGUAAAUAAUAGUGGCUUGGCUUAUCUUUUAAAA